RNAcentral lists this long non-coding RNA (767 nucleotides) under Malus domestica (apple). RNAcentral's name for it is "long non-coding RNA (MDOM_LNC006698)". The record is from RNAcentral. Lineage: Eukaryota; Viridiplantae; Streptophyta; Magnoliopsida; Rosales; Rosaceae.
UGCUGCUGCUUGCGACGACCAACCCCACCUUGUACGACCAUAUCUGUGGAGAGAGAGAGAGAGAGAGAGAGGGCCACCAACAAUUAUCCCCCGCCGUGCACCCAAAAAGCUCCGAAGAAGCUUAAAAGUGGCAAUGGCCUAACAUUCUUUUUUUAACAAGAAUUCAUGGCAGUUUGCCCCCCUUCCCAACUUCAAUGUGAAGGAUUUCAAAGUUCACAGAGGUUUCCAGAGAGAAGUGAAAGUGAUUGUUGACUCUGUUUGACUCUCUCUCUCUCUCUCUCUCUCUCUCUUAAUAAACGAAUCAGGCUAGGGUGGUCACAUGGUUGUCUGAUAGGCUAUAAAUCUCCCAUUUUUCAAAAAAAAAAAAAAAAAAAGACAGAAGUGAAAGUGAUUGUUGACUCUCUUUGACUCUUUCUCUCUCUAAAGAAGAUUAUUUUUUCAUUAUAAUUGGGAUGCUUUUAUAAAUCUAGUUUUAGUCUCUAACUUUAAAACUCAUUAUCAAUCAUAUUAAAUACCCCUGCCCACUUUUAUUAUUUUCAAAUUUUCUUUCUAAAAUUCCUAACUUAAUCAUCAAUUAGGCCUUAAAAAUAGAAAUUUUUAUUUCUACAAAUCAAAUUUAGCAAUUUAAAAUGGAAGACUUUUUUUUUUGUUUGUUAAAAAAAAAAUGGAAGACUUGUAUAAAAAUUUAUACAGACAAUCACAAAGCCAAACAAAUAAAUUCAUAUGCAGACACAAUAAACAAUAUACAUAAUAAAGGUACACACACA